Long non-coding RNA from Triplophysa rosa, 358 nucleotides. RefSeq lists it as uncharacterized. The record is from RefSeq and is a predicted model, not a curated record. The transcript is spliced from 3 exons. NCBI's taxonomy places the organism in Eukaryota, Metazoa, Chordata, Actinopteri, Cypriniformes, Nemacheilidae.
CUGCGACGCCUGAGGAGAACAGGGAAUAUUUCACCUCAGGAGAUUUCUUUCGGAAAAUGCAUUUUGAGAUGCUGUCAUACAGAAGAAGAGAUGUCUGAGUCUUUUGGAGAAAUACAUAACGCGUUUGGCCAUCUGAUAUGGAUCUAGUCCAGAAGCAGAAAGUGCUAUUUUUGGGGUUUAAAGUUUUCAAAUGCCCAGCACUGGAGCCAUCAAGAAACAACAUGGAAAUGUACAGAACUCCCUGGAGAAGCACAACCGCACAAAGCACGAGACACAGAUAUAUUACCUUGUUGGUUGGGAGCGGUGGAAAAGGUUGACGCCGGCUGUCUGGAACUCAGAACCUGUACUUCUCUCUUCA